GCUCGAAUAGUUCAGUGGUAGAACGUCAGUCUCGUAUUCCGCAACACGCACAAGAAUUUAUUGUUGGAAAACUGAAGGUCCGCGGUUCAAUCCCGCGUUCGAGCA
This is a non-coding RNA of Paraphysoderma sedebokerense, 105 nucleotides long. The record is from the annotation of a GenBank genome assembly. NCBI's taxonomy places the organism in Eukaryota, Fungi, Blastocladiomycota, Physodermatomycetes, Physodermatales, Physodermataceae.